GACAUCCUUGGCAAUGAGGUCACCGUUGAUGAGCUCUCUGUAGGCAGCAACGGGCCAGCUGAACCCCCGGAAGAGCAAACGAGAGGCCAGAGGAACGUCGAUGAUGAUCUCCUUCAUGGUAGGCUUUUUCUCAUCCCUGAUGGCAAUAAGGUAACUCCGACCCACCCACCCGAUCCACCCGGCGAUGUACAGAAAGAGGACCCCAGGAGUGAUGAACUCGCCCCAGUGCCUCUGGUCUCCGCUCACGAUCAGGUGCGGCAGCCCGUCGGCGCCGCACAGAAGCCCCUGCUUCGCGUAGUUGUCGAACCGCCGCUUCGUCUUCUCCACCGACGCCUUUAUCGCCAGGGCGGGGGCG
RNAcentral lists this long non-coding RNA (355 nucleotides) under Phaseolus vulgaris (common bean). RNAcentral describes it as "long non-coding RNA (PVUL_LNC004138)". Lineage: Eukaryota; Viridiplantae; Streptophyta; Magnoliopsida; Fabales; Fabaceae. The record is from RNAcentral.